GACGAACGCUGGCGGCGUGCCUAAUACAUGCAAGUUGAGCGCUGAAGGUUGGUACUUGUACCAACUGGAUGAGCAGCGAACGGGUGAGUAACGCGUGGGGAAUCUGCCUUUGAGCGGGGGACAACAUUUGGAAACGAAUGCUAAUACCGCAUAAAAACUUUAAACACAAGUUUUAAGUUUGAAAGAUGCAAUUGCAUCACUCAAAGAUGAUCCCGCGUUGUAUUAGCUAGUUGGUGAGGUAAAGGCUCACCAAGGCGAUGAUACAUAGCCGACCUGAGAGGGGUAUCGGCCACAUUGGGACUGAGACCCGGCCCAAACGUCCACGGGAGGCAGCAGUAGGGAAACUUCGGCAAUGGAAGAAAGUCUGACCGAGCAACGCCGCGUGAGUGAAGAAGGGUGUCGGAUCGUAAAACUCUGUUUGUAGAGAAGAACGGUUGUGGGAGUGGAAAGCUCAUCAAGUGACGGUAACUACACAGAAAGGGACGGCUAACUACGUG
This 497-nucleotide ribosomal RNA is filed under the name uncultured bacterium. RNAcentral describes it as "partial 16S ribosomal RNA". It matches the Rfam family "Bacterial small subunit ribosomal RNA", at positions 28 to 507 of the family's 1533-position model. The record is from RNAcentral.